Long non-coding RNA from Lampris incognitus (smalleye Pacific opah), 150 nucleotides. RefSeq lists it as uncharacterized. The transcript has 3 exons. The record is from RefSeq and is a predicted model, not a curated record. NCBI's taxonomy places the organism in Eukaryota, Metazoa, Chordata, Actinopteri, Lampriformes, Lampridae.
CGUGACGCCAGACACCAAGGAAAGAUUAUGCCCCGUAACAAAAGAGAGAAAACGGAAGACCAUAAACAACUUCAAUUUGUGCAGCAGUAAGAAGGUCCAGUAAGGAGAUUCUAUCAGAGAACCUGCUGGAAAAUCGAGAUGUCUGGACAU